Molecule: ribosomal RNA, 2904 nt
Filed under: Escherichia coli KTE12
Lineage: Bacteria; Pseudomonadati; Pseudomonadota; Gammaproteobacteria; Enterobacterales; Enterobacteriaceae
Description: bacterial LSU rRNA
Rfam family: Bacterial large subunit ribosomal RNA
Source: RNAcentral
UUAAGCGACUAAGCGUACACGGUGGAUGCCCUGGCAGUCAGAGGCGAUGAAGGACGUGCUAAUCUGCGAUAAGCGUCGGUAAGGUGAUAUGAACCGUUAUAACCGGCGAUUUCCGAAUGGGGAAACCCAGUGUGAUUCGUCACACUAUCAUUAACUGAAUCCAUAGGUUAAUGAGGCGAACCGGGGGAACUGAAACAUCUAAGUACCCCGAGGAAAAGAAAUCAACCGAGAUUCCCCCAGUAGCGGCGAGCGAACGGGGAGCAGCCCAGAGCCUGAAUCAGUGUGUGUGUUAGUGGAAGCGUCUGGAAAGGCGUGCGAUACAGGGUGACAGCCCCGUACACAAAAAUGCACAUGCUGUGAGCUCGAUGAGUAGGGCGGGACACGUGGUAUCCUGUCUGAAUAUGGGGGGACCAUCCUCCAAGGCUAAAUACUCCUGACUGACCGAUAGUGAACCAGUACCGUGAGGGAAAGGCGAAAAGAACCCCGGCGAGGGGAGUGAAAAAGAACCUGAAACCGUGUACGUACAAGCAGUGGGAGCACAGAGCAAUCUGUGUGACUGCGUACCUUUUGUAUAAUGGGUCAGCGACUUAUAUUCUGUAGCAAGGUUAACCGAAUAGGGGAGCCGAAGGGAAACCGAGUCUUAACUGGGCGUUAAGUUGCAGGGUAUAGACCCGAAACCCGGUGAUCUAGCCAUGGGCAGGUUGAAGGUUGGGUAACACUAACUGGAGGACCGAACCGACUAAUGUUGAAAAAUUAGCGGAUGACUUGUGGCUGGGGGGGAAAGGCCAAUCAAACCGGGAGAUAGCUGGUUCUCCCCGAAAGCUAUUUAGGUAGCGCCUCGUGAAUUCAUCUCCGGGGGUAGAGCACUGUUUCGGCAAGGGGGUCAUCCCGACUUACCAACCCGAUGCAAACUGCGAAUACCGGAGAAUGUUAUCACGGGAGACACACGGCGGGUGCUAACGUCCGUCGUGAAGAGGGAAACAACCCAGACCGCCAGCUAAGGUCCCAAAGUCAUGGUUAAGUGGGAAACGAUGUGGGAAGGCCCAGACAGCCAGGAUGUUGGCUUAGAAGCAGCCAUCAUUUAAAGAAAGCGUAAUAGCUCACUGGUCGAGUCGGCCUGCGCGGAAGAUGUAACGGGGCUAAACCAUGCACCGAAGCUGCGGCAGCGACGCUUAUGCGUUGUUGGGUAGGGGAGCGUUCUGUAAGCCUGCGAAGGUGUGCUGUGAGGCAUGCUGGAGGUAUCAGAAGUGCGAAUGCUGACAUAAGUAACGAUAAAGCGGGUGAAAAGCCCGCUCGCCGGAAGACCAAGGGUUCCUGUCCAACGUUAAUCGGGGCAGGGUGAGUCGACCCCUAAGGCGAGGCCGAAAGGCGUAGUCGAUGGGAAACAGGUUAAUAUUCCUGUACUUGGUGUUACUGCGAAGGGGGGACGGAGAAGGCUAUGUUGGCCGGGCGACGGUUGUCCCGGUUUAAGCGUGUAGGCUGGUUUUCCAGGCAAAUCCGGAAAACUAAGGCUGAGGCGUGAUGACGAGGCACUACGGUGCUGAAGCAACAAAUGCCCUGCUUCCAGGAAAAGCCUCUAAGCAUCAGGUAACAUCAAAUCGUACCCCAAACCGACACAGGUGGUCAGGUAGAGAAUACCAAGGCGCUUGAGAGAACUCGGGUGAAGGAACUAGGCAAAAUGGUGCCGUAACUUCGGGAGAAGGCACGCUGAUAUGUAGGUGAAGCGACUUGCUCGUGGAGCUGAAAUCAGUCGAAGAUACCAGCUGGCUGCAACUGUUUAUUAAAAACACAGCACUGUGCAAACACGAAAGUGGACGUAUACGGUGUGACGCCUGCCCGGUGCCGGAAGGUUAAUUGAUGGGGUCAGCGCAAGCGAAGCUCUUGAUCGAAGCCCCGGUAAACGGCGGCCGUAACUAUAACGGUCCUAAGGUAGCGAAAUUCCUUGUCGGGUAAGUUCCGACCUGCACGAAUGGCGUAAUGAUGGCCAGGCUGUCUCCACCCGAGACUCAGUGAAAUUGAACUCGCUGUGAAGAUGCAGUGUACCCGCGGCAAGACGGAAAGACCCCGUGAACCUUUACUAUAGCUUGACACUGAACAUUGAGCCUUGAUGUGUAGGAUAGGUGGGAGGCUUGGAAGUGUGGACGCCAGUCUGCAUGGAGCCGACCUUGAAAUACCACCCUUUAAUGUUUGAUGUUCUAACGUUGACCCGUAAUCCGGGUUGCGGACAGUGUCUGGUGGGUAGUUUGACUGGGGCGGUCUCCUCCUAAAGAGUAACGGAGGAGCACGAAGGUUGGCUAAUCCUGGUCGGACAUCAGGAGGUUAGUGCAAUGGCAUAAGCCAGCUUGACUGCGAGCGUGACGGCGCGAGCAGGUGCGAAAGCAGGUCAUAGUGAUCCGGUGGUUCUGAAUGGAAGGGCCAUCGCUCAACGGAUAAAAGGUACUCCGGGGAUAACAGGCUGAUACCGCCCAAGAGUUCAUAUCGACGGCGGUGUUUGGCACCUCGAUGUCGGCUCAUCACAUCCUGGGGCUGAAGUAGGUCCCAAGGGUAUGGCUGUUCGCCAUUUAAAGUGGUACGCGAGCUGGGUUUAGAACGUCGUGAGACAGUUCGGUCCCUAUCUGCCGUGGGCGCUGGAGAAUUGAGGGGGGCUGCUCCUAGUACGAGAGGACCGGAGUGGACGCAUCACUGGUGUUCGGGUUGUCAUGCCAAUGGCACUGCCCGGUAGCUAAAUGCGGAAGAGAUAAGUGCUGAAAGCAUCUAAGCACGAAACUUGCCCCGAGAUGAGUUCUCCCUGACUCCUUGAGAGUCCUGAAGGAACGUUGAAGACGACGACGUUGAUAGGCCGGGUGUGUAAGCGCAGCGAUGCGUUGAGCUAACCGGUACUAAUGAACCGUGAGGCUUAACCUU